This 113-nucleotide transfer RNA is filed under the name Janibacter cremeus. RNAcentral describes it as "tRNA-OTHER". It matches the Rfam family "transfer-messenger RNA", at positions 259 to 374 of the family's 374-position model. From Rfam's summary of the family: Bacterial tmRNA, also known as 10Sa RNA or SsrA, is named for its dual tRNA and mRNA-like properties. Its role is to liberate the mRNA from a stalled ribosome. The record is from RNAcentral. Lineage: Bacteria; Bacillati; Actinomycetota; Actinomycetes; Micrococcales; Intrasporangiaceae.
GGGGAACGUGUGCGCGCGAGCCCCGGGGCCGAGAAAAUCCAUAGCGCACUGCACCCGGAGAAGCCCUGAUCGUCUUCCAGUGGACGCGGGUUCGAUUCCCGCCACCUCCACCA